Molecule: non-coding RNA, 101 nt
Filed under: Palpitomonas bilix
Lineage: Eukaryota
Source: RNAcentral
UACUAAAUGGAAGCAAACAUAACAGUGAAAGGAGCAGGGUAGAUAAGAGGUGACUUCUUCAUUUCGUUUCCUUUCUUUUUCCUUUUUUUUUGUGCUUAAAA